UUCGGAUUUGUUUACCUAAUAGAUAGCUAAGUAAUUUAGUACUAGAGUAACAAAGUAACGUACUAGUUGUUAAGUUAAAAGGUAGAUUAAUAUUCCGGAUAUGAGCGAGGAAUGUCGGCGAGCGGCGGACGGCUGAGUAGCGCGUAGGAACAUACCCCAAAGUGAGGCAUAACCGCCCGAAAGGGUGGCUAAUACCGCAUAUUGUCUUCGGAUGAAAGCUUUUAGCGCUUUGGGAAUGGCCUGCGUUUGAUUAGCUAGUUGGUGAGGUAAGGGCUUACCAAGGCGAUGAUCAAUAGCUGGUUUGAGAGAAUGAUCAGCCAGACUGGAACUGAGACACGGUCCAGACUCCUACGGGAGGCAGCAGUUGGGAAUAUUGGACAAUGGGCGCAAGCCUGAUCCAGCCAUGCCGCGUGAGUGAAGAAGGCCCUCGGGUUGUAAAGCUCUUUUGUUGGGGAAGAAAAGCAGUUGGUUAAUACCCGAUUGUUCUGACGGUACCCAAAGAAUAAGCACCGGCUAACUUCGUG
This 524-nucleotide ribosomal RNA is filed under the name uncultured bacterium. Its description in RNAcentral is "bacterial SSU rRNA". It matches the Rfam family "Bacterial small subunit ribosomal RNA", at positions 76 to 507 of the family's 1533-position model. The record is from RNAcentral.